GGAAAUAUUAGGUUGAUGCAAAAGUAAUUGUGGUUUUUGCCAUUAAAAUAUUGCAAAAACCACAGUUACCUUUGCGCCAACCUAAUA
MicroRNA precursor from Cebus imitator (Panamanian white-faced capuchin), 87 nucleotides. Lineage: Eukaryota; Metazoa; Chordata; Mammalia; Primates; Cebidae. The record is from Ensembl.